This 319-nucleotide ribosomal RNA is filed under the name uncultured eukaryote. RNAcentral's name for it is "partial 18S ribosomal RNA". It matches the Rfam family "Eukaryotic small subunit ribosomal RNA", at positions 1470 to 1796 of the family's 1831-position model. The record is from RNAcentral.
CCCUUAGAUGUCCUGGGCCGCACGCGUGCUACACUGACGCCUACAGCGAGUACUUCCCAGCCCCGAGAGGUGGCCGGUAAUCAGCAAUAGGCGUCGUGAUGGGGAUAGAUCUUUGGAAUUAUGGAUCUUGAACGAGGAAUGCCUAGUAAGCGCAGGUCAUUAGCCUGCGCUGAUUAAGUCCCUGCCCUUUGUACACACCGCCCGUCGCUCCUACCGAUUUCGAGUGGUCCGGUGAAUCUUUCGGACUGCGCGCGGCCUCGUGCCGUGUCGCGGAAAGUCAGGUAAACCUUAUCACUUAGAGGAAGGAGAAGUCGUANCA